Molecule: long non-coding RNA, 914 nt
Organism: Cucurbita moschata (crookneck pumpkin)
Lineage: Eukaryota; Viridiplantae; Streptophyta; Magnoliopsida; Cucurbitales; Cucurbitaceae
Exons: 5
Source: RefSeq, a predicted model, not a curated record
UUUCGAGUUCUUUGUCACUUAGUAUAAAUUCAGCAUGCAAUCGAGGCGCGAAAGCCCAGGCGUCGGCCCCUGCGAUCACGAUUGGCGCCAGUCCAGUAGCAGCCUCUCCCCUAUCUCCGAGCGAUGCGAAGCAGGCUGAGCCUUCAAAUCUUUCUAUAGGAAUGCGUCCAGUUCUUCGUAAAAUCCAGUCAGCGAUACGCUUGUUUUUCAUCCACUCGUUCUCUCUCAAAUCGAACUCAACGCCCAUGAUUUCUCGACCUUUUCGCUCUCUCCGGUUCCCUAUAUUCAAGCUUACAGACCUAUGCAGAAUCCGGAGGUCAUUUCGUAAGCGGGAAGCCGCCGAGGUUGAUGGAUUCUCAUGGGUCCUCUUGGGUUCAGCUUCGACCAAUUGAUGGUAUAUAAAAUUAUGAAAGUCGUAAAGCACAUAAUCUAGCUGAAAAUUCACGGGAUUCACUUCUUUUCUUCUGGGAUGGUUUCAAUAGGCAUGUGAAACAACUUUCUGAAAGCCCACCAUUAGCAGAUAUUGUCUUCUUUGGGCUUUCCUUUUCGAGCUUCCCCUCAAAAAGUUUGAUUCCAUAACCAAAAUACUGGGGAGGAUAGAGGCUUAAACCAGAGCUUUUUGAGUUUAGGCAGGGGCAGCCAUCCGGGUUGCACGACAGGUUGCAAUAUUCCUGUUGCGAGACGGACGGAAAAAAAAAGUAUGGAAAGUAAGAACGAUUAGCUCCCUGAUUGACUCCUCCAUCAUUCACGUACCUUCUUUUCUCUUUAGCCCCUUUUGUGUUUGACGUCAAAGUUGCUGUCGAAUAUUUGACUGUUGCAUAAUUUACUGAACUAGUUUUACAGCUUCCAUAAAACUAUAUGACAUGUUAAUGGAAUUUCUGCCUAUUUUAAAACAAUAUAAUAAAUAUGGACUU